UAUAGAUAUUUCCUGAGAGACACAGUUAGAGAAUGUCUAAUACAGAAGUGAAUGUUAGUGGCAAACCAGUGAACUGAAAACGGACAUCUUGUUGGUAGAUUUUGAGACAGUAUUACAAUUGUUGAAGGUGCUGUUAACUACAAAAGAACAACAUUCUCAAUGACCCAGAGCUUUCUGGUACUAGACCAAUAUUCAAAGAAUGAACAUAGACAGAAAUAUGGCUCCAAAUGCAUAUGUGGCAGAGGAUUGCUUUUUUGGCACCAAUGGAAGGAGAAGCCCUUGGUUCUACCUUGGUUUGUCUCCCAGUUUAAGGGAAUGUCAAAGGGCAGAAUUAUGGUUAGAGAAGAAGGGAUUGUGAACAGGUUGUGAUUUAAUGGGCAGGAAACUGAGAAAGGAAAUAAUAUUUUAAACGUAAAUAUAGCCUCAUCCAGUUUAAAAAUCACUUAAAUUGAUAAAAAAUUAAAAAAAGAAAGAAAUAAAAGUAAAGAAAACUUCCAACUAAUCACAGUUAUUUACUCAGAAAUCUAAAUUGGUAUUCAGAGUAAUACUUGUAGCAAGACAAAGAUGAUGAAGUCUCAACUAGAAGCACUUCUUUCUCCGAGAUAUCCGUGUCAGACACAAAAUGCACUAUAGGUAUCCAAAGCUUGGAGGAGUUUACUCUGACCUGAGGACCCAAUACUUGUCUUUACCUCCUUCCUUAGGACCUUUUUCUUCUGGGCAAAAAGAAAAAAAGGCCAUAGAUCUCAGAAAAACAACUGUGCCCUCUCAAAAUUUUGCUUUGUAAUUAGGAAAUGAAUGAUAUAAAACCUUUGACAUCCAGGUACCAUAAGAACAGGGAAGUCCAGAUGCUUCUGUGAAGCUUCCAGCUCUUGAUUCCCAUAUGUGUAAGUCUCAGAUCAAGUCUAUCUCUUCAGCGAUACCACUCCAACCCUUCCAAGGGCUCCCUGAACUUUUCAAAGUACCACUUAUUUUUCCUUUUUUUUUUUUCAUACAAAGACAGAAGGUCAGCUUCUUUCUCCCCAUCUCUGAUCUCUUUAUCCUUUUUGUUCUCACUCCCAAAUGGCUGUUUACUCUGAAUUAGUGGCCAAUUAGCAAACCGGAGAGUUACUGAGGGAAUAUGUGAGAGGCAGUUCCUGUCAGGACAGUAAUUGUUACAUCACAGAAGAAGCUAGGGCUCUCCUAGUUACAACAAAUUUGUCAUGGAGGUCCUAUUUAUGAUGUCACUGAGAACGGCCAUCUCCUACAUGCUAAACAGCUUUCCUUACAUUUACCAGAUUCGAAGGUGUCCUUUCCAGGAAUAAAGAAAAGGACUGUUUACUGCACAAUCUCAUGAUAUCACAGAACAAUUCUUCCAACACUACAAAGUGAAAUCUCAUAAAAAGAUGGGUACCCGAAGCCACAGAAUGUUCCACAAAUGAAAAGCAAACCUUCCCAUCCUUUUGCUAACCUUAUGCUGUGUUACGAUGCAAGGCUUUCAAGAAGAACACAGAUCAGAUAUCAGCUCCUGCUUCUUCCUUUAGGGGUGCCCUUGUGGUGAAUAAACUUUACAAGCAGAAAAAAAAGAAAAAGUAAAGAAGUUCUUUUCUUGUUGAGGAGAGUUUUCUCUGUCAUGGGGUUUUUGUUAUUUCAAAUGAAUUUUCAAAUUGCUCUUUCUAACUCUAUGAAGCAGUGAGUUGGAAUUGUGAUAGCGAUUGCCUUGAAUAUGUUGAUUGCUUUUGCCAAGUUUGCCAUUUUUGUAAUAUUAACUCUACCAAUCCAUAAGCAUGGAAAAUCUUUCCAUCUGAGAUUUUCUUCAUUUUUUUUUCUUCACAGAGUUGAAGUUCUUGUCAUAAAGACCUUUUACUUGCUUGGUUAGAGUCACACUGAGUCUCUUGCAGAUUCAGCUAAAGAUGUGUAUAUGCUAGACUGUGAAGUACCAUUAGAAGAUGAAGCAAUGUAGGACCUCUUGAGCUAUUUUCAAGGUAAACUGGAGGUUCACUUGGGAUGCAAUGAAGAGCCCCUGACAAGCAUAUUCUUCAAAGCCUCCCAUGGUGUAACUGAAGAUACGAUAUGUGAAGUAGCCCUAGCUUGCCUGCUCAAGUCUUCAAAGCCCAAAGACAACUGCUGGAAUGAAAUGCAACCUAUAGGACUGAUGGAAGAAUUGCUACAUGGACUUUCAAAUGGCAUGAAAAUAUAUGGACAUUCUAAAUACUGAAAAAGAAUAGGAAGCUGAUCAAGCAAUACUGGAUCUUCCUCUGCUCCACGAGAAUUCCCAGUGAUGUCCACGGUGCAAUAACAACUUUUUCCCAUGAAGUCUGGUAUAUUACCUUUUUGAUGACUGACACAACAGUCCUACUUCUGUAGGUGUCCUUUCACAUGCAGAGGAAUGUGUAGAUGGACAUAUAUUUGAAUAAGAUACUGAACCUAAGACUACUGCAUUAGAGCCUCGUACAAGAAUUCUAAGACUGUUGACUGCCUACCAUGGAUAUUCAGAAUGGCUUUUUGGCCUUGCGGAAGGUGUAUAACAUGUAUAUCCAACUCAUCAUGGCUGAAAUCAGUAAAAUGUAGACAACUAUAUAAUGAAUGAAAGGAAGGGGUCACUCUUGGAAAGUAUUAAGAAGAUCGUCAUAACCUCUGGCCAUGUUAGAGAUCAAGAAGUGGUCAGAAGAAUUUCAAGUACAAAUUCAGAUGGCUGGAAAGAGCCCAGUCUCUCUAACAGGCAUCUGCAGAUACUACCUUUUGAGGAAUGAAUCCUUCUCAGGAGACAAUAGACGGAACCUGCACUUCAAUGAUAAUUAAAUGGCACUUCAAGAUAUCAAAUCAAAAUAUCAAAGUGAGAAUGGAAUAAAUUUAUUAGUACAGUG
Non-coding RNA from Rattus norvegicus (Norway rat), 2843 nucleotides. Lineage: Eukaryota; Metazoa; Chordata; Mammalia; Rodentia; Muridae. The record is from RefSeq and is a predicted model, not a curated record.